UGUGAUAAUGACCUUGGUGAUGGAAGUGGUGGUUCUAAAGCCGGUGCAGAUGUACCAGGUGGUUCAGGUGUUAAUCUUGGGGAAUCAGCCUCCAUACGGCCAAGAUCAACCAGGAAAAGAAAACCGGUUGUUAAGAGCAUCUACGGCCUAUAAAAGGUGUAGGCUCAAAGGAAAAGAACUAGAUGGUGCAUGGCACACUUCAGUGGAUGUGCUGUUAGCUUUCAGUGGACUCCUUUAUUUUGUAAUGAUGCAUUUGAGACUACUUACUUAUCAAACGGACUGUAAUGUUUGCUAGCUAUCUAAUGGACUGUAAUAUGUGCUGUCGAGUCUAGUGGACCUUAUUAUAUUGCUAUAGAAUGGACUGUAAUAUGUGGGACUUGGCGAUGAUUUAAUUAUGUUCGGUGUGGAACCUAUCUAAUGCAUUCAUAAUGUUUUUCUUGUUUUUA
Panicum virgatum (switchgrass) is the source of this 446-nucleotide long non-coding RNA. RefSeq lists it as uncharacterized. The transcript is spliced from 3 exons. The record is from RefSeq and is a predicted model, not a curated record. Lineage: Eukaryota; Viridiplantae; Streptophyta; Magnoliopsida; Poales; Poaceae.